ACUCCUACGGGAGGCAGCAGUGGGGAAUAUUGCACAAUGGGGGAAACCCUGAUGCAGCCAUGCCGCGUGUGUGAAGAAGGCCUUCGGGUUGUAAAGCAUCUUUGCAGUAGGGAGGAAGGUAGUGUAGUUAACACCUGUCAUUAUUGACGUUACCUACAGAAGAAGCACCGGCUAACUCCGUGCCAGCAGCCGCGGUAAUACGGAGGGUGCGAGCGUUAAUCGGAAUUACUGGGCGUAAAGCGCAUGCAGGCGGCCUGUUAAGUCAGAUGUGAAAGCCCGGGGCUUAACCUCGGAAUUGCAUUUGAAACUGGCAGGCUAGAGUCUUGUAGAGGGGGGUGAGAAUUUCAGGUGUAGCGGUGAAAUGCGUAGAGAUCUGAAGG
This 380-nucleotide ribosomal RNA is filed under the name uncultured bacterium. Its description in RNAcentral is "bacterial SSU rRNA". It matches the Rfam family "Bacterial small subunit ribosomal RNA", at positions 335 to 704 of the family's 1533-position model. The record is from RNAcentral.